RNAcentral lists this transfer RNA (81 nucleotides) under Gomphillus americanus. It matches the Rfam family "tRNA". Rfam says of the family: Transfer RNA (tRNA) molecules are approximately 80 nucleotides in length. Their secondary structure includes four short double-helical elements and three loops (D, anti-codon, and T loops). The record is from Rfam by way of RNAcentral. Lineage: Eukaryota; Fungi; Ascomycota; Lecanoromycetes; Ostropales; Graphidaceae.
GACACUUUGGCCGAGUGGUUAUGGCGGUGGCCUCGAAAGCCAUUUCUCUUGGGAUCGCAGGUUCAAAUCCUGCAGGUGUCG